This 239-nucleotide ribosomal RNA is filed under the name uncultured bacterium. RNAcentral describes it as "partial 16S ribosomal RNA". It matches the Rfam family "Bacterial small subunit ribosomal RNA", at positions 15 to 236 of the family's 1533-position model. The record is from RNAcentral.
GAUCAUGGCUCAGGAUGAACGCUGGCGGCGUGCUUAACACAUGCAAGUCGAGCGAGGCGCUUAAGUUUGAUUCUUUGGAUGAAGACUUUUGUGACUGAGCGGCGGACGGGUGAGUAACGCGUGGGUAACCUGCCUCAUACAGGGGGAUAACAGUUAGAAAUGACUGCUAAUACCGCAUAAGACCACGGUACCGCAUGGUACAGUGGUAAAAACUCCGGUGGUAUGAGAUGGACCCGCGU